AUGGAUUUUGGGAUGGAUUUUGGGAUGGAUUUUGGGAUGGAUUUUGGGAUGGAUUUUGGGAUGGAUUUUGGGAUGGAUCCCGGGGGGAUUUUGGGAUGGAUUUUGGGAUGGAUUUUGGGAUGGAUUUUGGGAUGGAUUUUGGGAUGGAUUUUGGGAUGGAUUUUGGGAUGGAUCCCGGGGGGAUUUUGGGAUGGAUUUUGGGAUGGAUUUUGGGAUGGAUUUUGGGAUGGAUUUUGGGAUGGAUUUUGGGAUGGAUUUUGGGAUGGAUCCCGGGGGGAUUUUGGGAUGGAUUUUGGGAUGGAUUUUGGGAUGGAUUUUGGGAUGGAUUUUGGGAUGGAUUUUGGGAUGGAUUUUGGGAUGGAUCCCGGGGGGAUUUUGGGAUGGAUUUUGGGAUGGAUUUUGGGUGGGUCCCGGGGUGGGAGGGGUCGCACCGGGCAGGGACCCCGGGGUGCUCGGGGCACGGGGAGGUCACAGCCUUGGGGACACCGCCAGGAGCUCGGUGACAGCUCGGGGGACAUUCCCAAGAGCUGUGGCCGCUCAGGUCUGGUGGCCGCUCAGGUGACAUCGCUGGGAGCUUGGUGGCCGCUCAGGUGACAUCCCGGGGACCUUGGUGGCCGCUCAGGUGACAUCACCAGGAGCCUGGUGGCGCCUCAGGUGACAUCGCUGGGAGCUUGGUGGCCGCUCAGGUGACAUCCCGGGGAGCUUGGUGGCCGCUCAGGUGACAUUCUCCAGCCCGGUGGCCCCUCAGGUGACACCCCCCCAGCCCAGGGCCACCCUCCAGCUCACCCCAAAAAAGCCCUGGGGGAGCUCUGGGGAGCGGUGUCCCCUGGCGGGGGAGGCGCUGGGGACACUUGGGGACAUUUCUGAGCACAGUGGAGCCCUCCCCAUUUUAGGGGAAAAAUUGGGGGAUUUUGGGGGAGUGCAGGAGGAAGAGGAGCCCUCCCCAUUUUAGGGGAAAUUUUGGGGAUUUUUGGGGGUGUUGGGAUGGGCAGGAGGAAGAGGAUCCCUCCCCAUUUUAGGGGAAAUUUUGGGGAUUUUUGGGGGUGUUGGGAUGGGCAGGAGGAAGAGGAGCCCUCCUCGUUCUGGGGGGAAAUUUUGGGGGGCGCAGGCCCCCCCCCCCCCCCCCCCCCCCCCCCCCCCCCCCCCCCCCCCCCCCCCCCCCCCCCCCCCCCCCCCCCCCCCCCCCCCCCCCCCCCCCCCCCCCCCCCCCCCCCCCCCC
This 1219-nucleotide long non-coding RNA is filed under the name Ficedula albicollis (Collared flycatcher). Its description in RNAcentral is "lncRNA (ENSFALG00000018259.2)". The record is from RNAcentral. Lineage: Eukaryota; Metazoa; Chordata; Aves; Passeriformes; Muscicapidae.